Molecule: long non-coding RNA, 1624 nt
Organism: Ailuropoda melanoleuca (giant panda)
Lineage: Eukaryota; Metazoa; Chordata; Mammalia; Carnivora; Ursidae
Source: Ensembl
AUUUAUAGGGUAGGGAGCCAGAAUAAUUUCAGGAACUGGGAACGGAUUGAGUCAGUAAGAGGGACUAAGUGGCCCCAGUAAUAGGCGAGUUGGAGCUAGUAGAUCUUUGUAGGUUAUUGUUUAGUAUCUGUGUCUCGUGGCUUAUUUGCUUGUAUUACUUAUUUAUUUUGCAGAAGUAAUAUUUACAUAACAGUAAAGUGCACGUAUCUUAAGUGUACAGCUCAAUGAAUUUUCACAUAUGUACACACCUGUGUAAUCACCAUCCAGAUCAGGAAAUAGGAGUUUCUAUCCCUCUCAAAAACUCUCUUGUGCCCACUCCCAGUCAAUACCUGACCAAAGGCAACUCUUGUAGUAACCGCUAUCAUUAUGGGUGGGAUUAGUCUGUUUUUGAACUUCGUGUAAAUGGAACGUACAGUUUGUACUCUCUCAUGUCUGGUUUCUUUUACUUAUUCUGUUUGGUUUUUAUUUUGAUAAAGAGCCAGAUGCAUUAUAGGCCAUGAAUCUGUGAGCAGAUGACCACACUUUGUGGGCAAAGAUCUAAGAUCUGCAAGUGUGACCCCCAGGGGCUCUGUACAUGAGUACAGCAUUCUCUGCAUCUCGGUACCAGCUGUGAGAUAUGAGGAAGAAGAGGAAACACCUGCCAUGCUAGAGCUGCCAUGGGCUCAAUGCCUUUCGAAGCCUCUCAGGACUCCCUGGACCCUGGUGUAAACCUUCCUGGAGGAAUUGCUUCACGGAAGUAUGAAUAUCUUAAAUUGGGUGACCCAGAUUACAGGGCUCUGAGAUUAGGGAAGUGAUGCACUUUGCCAGGCCUGGCAGGUGUAAGGGACUGCCUUCAUGGGAGGUGACCUUUGUGUGGAGGAUGCUUUGCAUUUCUGGUACGGACAGUCUGCCUGCUGUUGCUUCUCUCCUCUACAAGUACACUAGGAAAUGCCCUUCCAGUCAGCUUGGCUCCAGUUAAUUUGGGAUAAUUAGGUAAAUAAUUUGUUUCCUACUUUUACUCAGAUUGGCUAUACUUAUUGAGGGCUAGAGUAAGUCAGGCUAAGUACUGAGUGCAUGAUCUCAUUUUUUAAAAAUUUAAAUUCAAUUAACUAACAUAUAGUGUAUUAUUAGUUUCAGAGGUAGAGUUCAGUGAUGCAUCAGCCUUAUAUAAUACCAAGCGCUCAUUAUAUCAUGUGCCCUCCUUAAUGCCCAUCACCCAGUUACCCCAUCCCCCCUCCCCCACCAGCCACCCUCAGUUUGUUUCCUGUGAUUAAGAGUCUCUUCUGGUUUAUCUCCCUCUCUGAUUUCAUCUUGUUUUAUUUUUCCCUCCCUUCCCCUAUGAUCCACAUAUGAGUGAGAUAUUAUGAUAAUUGUCUUUCUCUGAUUGAUUUAUUUGGCUUAGCAUAAUACCUUCUAGUUUUACCCACCUCGUUGCAAAUGGCAAGAUUUCAUUUUUUUUUUGAUGGCUGAGUAGUACUCUAUUGUAUAUAUAUACCACAUCUUCUUUAUCCAUUCAUCCAUUGAUAAACAUCUGGGCUUUUUCCGUAGUUUGGCUAUUGUGGACAUUGCUGCUAUCAACAUUGGGGCACAGGUGCCCCUUUGAAUCACUACAUUUGUAUCUUUUCAGUAAAUACCUAGUAAUGCA